AUGUUGGCAACUGCUGAUUGGGCUGAGGCUACCUCCAGGGUGUGUGGAGAUCCACCCCCACUGGAAGGGCCAGAUGUCAUCGUGCCCAUCCUCAAGGAUGAUGGGUCCUACCUGCUCUGUGCAUAUUGGGCUGAUGAGCCUGAAGCCCCAGUCCAGGCCUGGGCUGGGGCCCUGCACCCUACAGCCCAGCAGCCCAUCUGCUGUGUGGAGGCCAUUAUGGGUGAGUCUUUUGGUGGGAAUCUUGCUCUAGACCUGCCAAACCACCUGAGUGCACCCUAGUGACAGAGGCCUGCUUGCUCUAUACCCCUGGGGAAAGGUGUGAUGUGGCAGGAACUCUGCGCUACUUCUGGGUGGACUAAGCAGAGCCCUGGGUGGAGUUUGCAGCAGGGAUGUAGUGUAGGCAGGUAUUUCAUGACCUCAGAGUCCCAGGUUAUGCUCUGUUUUCUGACAAGCAAGCCGACCAUGUUGCUGCAUAAGAGGCAAGUGUGAUGGCAGGGCCCCAGCCUGUGCUCCUGCAUGUGUCAAGGAUUUCUUCUAGCCUACACAUGGAAGAGUGGGGCACCUUUGGCCAGUGACAGGCUUCCCUUGAGGCCUUUGCCCUAGAUGCCAUUACACUGCAUGCCUGCCACCACAGCUCUACUCGGGUUACCUUCUCAGCCUGAUAUCUUUCUCAGAUCCCGAUGAACUGGGCAUGCUGUCUCUCUCAUCCCAAUUGUGUUGAUGUCACUCUUCAUCUAGAACCCUGAGCCAUGUCCUGAGGGUUCCAUGCUGAGGUUGCUAGUGCUGGCCUCGUGCCUCUCAGGAUCCACUAAGGGCCACUGUGUGAAUGACACCAAAAGGCUCCUGUGUGUGUGAAGCUCUGUGGGUUUCAUAUGUUCAUACUGUGGCAGGGUGUACGUGCCCAGGAGUCCCCCACCAAUGACUGCUGUGGGGAUGAGCCCCCUGUUGUGACACAUCAGACAUAGACCAAGGCGCCACGUGGUGAAAGCGGCUGGCCCCUCAUGGAAGAUCAGGAUGCCUGAUCUGUGGCUAUCACACUCUGGACAGGCAGG
RNAcentral lists this long non-coding RNA (1052 nucleotides) under Oryctolagus cuniculus (rabbit). RNAcentral describes it as "lncRNA (ENSOCUG00000031423.1)". The record is from RNAcentral. Lineage: Eukaryota; Metazoa; Chordata; Mammalia; Lagomorpha; Leporidae.